Long non-coding RNA from Helicoverpa armigera (cotton bollworm), 1173 nucleotides. RefSeq lists it as uncharacterized. The record is from RefSeq and is a predicted model, not a curated record. The transcript is spliced from 3 exons. NCBI's taxonomy places the organism in Eukaryota, Metazoa, Arthropoda, Insecta, Lepidoptera, Noctuidae.
UAUUUACGAAUCUCUGUCUUUCAGGUAUAAAUAACUAAUAUUAUAAUACUUGAUAACUAACAGUGGUAAAUCUUUAGUGGCUUCUUUAAAAUAAUGAUAUUACUGGGUUUAUUAUACUCUUGAUUGUUUUUAUUUAGCCAAAAUCGUUUUUCAGGCGGCAUAACCUCAAACCUACACUCACAUAAUUUACAUCAAUUUGGUAAAUAUUCAUCUCAAAAGUGUAUCUCGAUCAAUUAACUAAACUUUAGAAACCAAAAUCUAUCAGAAAACUAAAAAAUAAAAAAUAAUCGAAAUUCAAUUAUAACUCGAUUCCAAUUUCCCGAGUGAUCGUCCCGUUAACUGCGCGGUCAGAGAUUCGCGUCAAUAUAGUCUGUAACUACACUCCGUAUGUACGCUUCCAUAUUUCAAACAUUGACAUUUGGGAGCAACUUCAUGCCUCACAAACAACCAUCUUCAAGGCAAUGUAACAAGUUAAACUUUAAUAUUUUUAUUGCAAUGCAUUGUAAAACAAUCAGUGCGCGGAAUAAAUGUGAUAUUGUGAUCAUCCUGUAUUUUUCGGUGAUAGUGGCGAACAUUCGGAGAUAAAACCUGCAGGUAUUUCGUUGAGUAAAUUGUUUUGUAGUGGGGUACACUAAAGUGCAUUUUAAAAAUCAAUAAGCUGUGGGACAUCUAAAAAUAGAUGCUGGCUGGCCGGCCGGGCAGCAUUCGGGCUCUCAGUGUUGUUGAUGUGUUGUUCGCGGGCUGUUCCUCCGUCGGACCCGCCGAGCGGACAACAAACAGUGACGCGGAGUGCAGUGCUUUGUGAACUAUUCGUCAAGUGCGCACAAUGCUUCCAUGCAACAAGUAAAGGACUCAGAUUGAACGGGAUUCAUUGUAUUAAAUUGUUUGAAUAAGCAAGAUCUCAAGAAUGGAUCGAGGAGCUGUCUCAAAUAGGUUUACACGUCUUGUGACCUACGCCCGAAACGCCUGGAGGUCCCUCCGUCGCGAUCCUGAGAAGAAGCCAGUGGUAACAAACAAUAACUCAUGCAUACGACACAUUAUAUUCAUGUAUGCUGAGUACAAGAGAGCCAAGAGGAGAAAUAAGCGUCGUUAAAUAUGUGUCACCAUCCAGCAUUCAAGUUUCAUCAUCAUUCAUCUGCUCUACAUCGCCAUCGACGACCUGGCUUGUUUCAC